GUCCCUGUGGCCAAGUGGUUAAGGCAUAGUGCUUAUGGUUUCGCAUACAGGAAUCACUGAGAUCGGCGGUUCGACCCCGCCCAGGGACA
This is a non-coding RNA of Aspergillus ellipticus CBS 707.79, 89 nucleotides long. Lineage: Eukaryota; Fungi; Ascomycota; Eurotiomycetes; Eurotiales; Aspergillaceae. The record is from the annotation of a GenBank genome assembly.